CCCUUUCUCACAAUAGUGUACUACCAACAGCUCUCCAAAGCUCGUCCAGUGCCUUUAAUGGUGUACAAAAUUAAUCUACUUUUCUAAGAAUUCCAUCUUUUUCCUUAGAUUUGAAGCCUUUUAUUUUACAUGCAUUAAAUGUUUAUUAUUCGGAGGGAUGGGUGGUUUUUAAACUGAGGGGUGGGUAUACUAUUAGAGACAUUCUUUGUGACAGGACGGCUUUGUAGAGGUGCUGGUCACCUGUUCCUUCAUGCCCUCACUGGUUUGGCAUUUUAAUCUAUUUGGUUUCUUUGUAUCAUAAUUUAUCGGUUUGUAUUUAUUGUUUAUGCCAGGUGUAAAGCGUAACAAAACUAAACUGAAACCAAUGAAAGUAGUUUGCGGGCAGCCACAUUGAACGGAUGACGUUAACCCUAUAGACCUUUAUCGUGCUGACUCCAUCUUGGUCGUGUUCCUUGUAUCGAAUAUCAAUAAUGAAUGCCAGUAAUAAUUUUGCAAAUAUGAACCAGACUAUUUUGUUCUUCCAGCCUCGGUUUGGUUACAUUGAUAUCAAUUGACAAACUCAAGAUGGCUGCCUAUGAUAUAGGUCUCAAACUAUAGGACACAAACUGAGGUGUGAAGGCCUACUGCUUAUAGCCAAGGUCAUGAACAGUUGUGCGAUGAUUUUUAAUCUCUAGUACCCUGUUAUUUAUAAGAGAUAAUUAUUACACAUAACAUUCGCAUGGUGUUUAGACAACGCUGCAGUGUGAGUGGCGCAAUAAACAUACAUUACAUGGUAGAAUAGCGUUGUCACCACUACAGGUUUUCAUUAAAUUCUUCAAGGCCAGCGCAACACAUGUAUGUAACUAUGAUCCUCAAAAUGUUUAAGUGUCACUAUUCAUCGAAUGACGCUACGAAGCUCGCCAGAUUCGGACCCCCCCCCCCCGUUUUCGAAACUAAAGACUCCGCUGCCUGAAGCUUCAUACCGAACGCACACAUUUCAAAAUAUUUGACAGAUCCUGAGCCCAAACCGAAACCGUGGUUUCGAAAAGGCCACAUACUCCUGGAUGAGGGGGAAAUGGUUUACAGAUAACCGCGGAAUGAGCAUCCCACACAUACCAACACUACCAAAAAAAUAGUGAUUUUUAACCACUUCGCGAGUACGUCCUAUCAUGUGUGACCACAGUUUUUUUCGGCAAAAAAUACACAAGUACCUUUAAAUGCAAUUUUAAAAAU
Asterias rubens (European starfish) is the source of this 1212-nucleotide long non-coding RNA. RefSeq lists it as uncharacterized. NCBI's taxonomy places the organism in Eukaryota, Metazoa, Echinodermata, Asteroidea, Forcipulatida, Asteriidae. The record is from RefSeq and is a predicted model, not a curated record. The transcript has 2 exons.